This 463-nucleotide long non-coding RNA is filed under the name Homo sapiens (human). Its description in RNAcentral is "HSALNT0230961". Lineage: Eukaryota; Metazoa; Chordata; Mammalia; Primates; Hominidae. The record is from RNAcentral.
GGCAGAUCAUCACUUCUUAUAUUCUUGGCACACAUGAUUUUAUGUACAUGUGUUAUUUAUACACCACUCAAGGAGAACUAGAGGCUCCUUGCAAUGAAAAGCAGAUUCACGGUUAAGUAUUAGAAAUGCUCAAAAGCCUUGAAGGCUAAGACAAAGGCUAUAUGGUUUGGAAGCCUUUUCUGUCUGAGAACAUAUCUGAGGAAGUGAAGACAAUUUGGUGGAGUUUCUUUUUAAUUGGAAUUUAUAAUUGCUCCUAAUUAUAGGACAUACUUUAAAUGUUACUUUGAGAGGCUGAGGGAGGGGGUGGAGCCCUGUCCACUCUAGCCUCAUGAGCUAUAACCUUGACAUUUUAAUUAGAUAUUAUUUUGAAAUAUGUAAAAGGGAUUUACAUACUCGGUGAAACAUAUCAUUGACUGUGCAAUUUGCCCAAGAAGACAAAAUGAUACACAGUUUUAAAAAUAAU